UACGUAGGGGCCGAGCGUUGUCCGGAUUUACUGGGCGUAAAGCGCGCGCAGGCGGCUCGUCAAGCCUGACGUGAAAGCCCCCGGCUCAACCGGGGAGGGUCGUCGGGGACUGGCGGGCUUGAGGGCGGCAGGGGUUGGUGGAAUUCCCGGUGUAGUGGUGAAAUGCGUAGAGAUCGGGAGGAACACCCGUGGCGAAGGCGGCCAACUGGGCCGGACCUGACGCUGAGGCGCGAAGGCGUGGGGAGCGAACGGG
RNAcentral lists this ribosomal RNA (253 nucleotides) under uncultured bacterium. Its description in RNAcentral is "partial 16S ribosomal RNA". It matches the Rfam family "Bacterial small subunit ribosomal RNA", at positions 524 to 776 of the family's 1533-position model. The record is from RNAcentral.